CUCAAGUAAAGCUCUAUGGGUAUCGCCAUGGGAAGAAGAACCGAUCAUUUUUCUGCCGAUUCCUACACAAAUCAAAACAAGUAAGGGAAAUAGCGAUGAUAAAAAAAAGGUUUAGUAAAAUAAGCAGAGACAAGAAAUAAUAAAUAAUUACCAUGAGAAAGAGAGAAGAAAAGCAUGAGAAAAACAGCCACAACGAAAGUGGAACGCCCCAUUGAUAGAUUUCCUUUUUCUUAACUGGAAAAUGGGUCUGUAAUUUGUGACAGUAAGUAAAGUGGAGAUCCUACAAAUGGCUAUAUAUAUAGGAGUUUGGAGACGUAAGAAACGUUUCAGAUCCGAUUAUUACUAAACCCUUUUAAUAGAUUGUUUUAUUACUUUUUCCCUUUCAUUUUUUUCUGAACUAAAU
RNAcentral lists this long non-coding RNA (403 nucleotides) under Nicotiana benthamiana. RNAcentral describes it as "long non-coding RNA (NBEN_LNC027199)". Lineage: Eukaryota; Viridiplantae; Streptophyta; Magnoliopsida; Solanales; Solanaceae. The record is from RNAcentral.